Molecule: ribosomal RNA, 492 nt
Filed under: uncultured bacterium
Lineage: Bacteria
Description: partial 16S ribosomal RNA
Rfam family: Bacterial small subunit ribosomal RNA
Source: RNAcentral
GGUGAACGCUGGCGGUGGGCCUAACACAUGCAAGUCGAGCGGCCACACAGUCAGCUCUUGCUCUUACCGGUUGCGACUGGCGGACGGGUGACCCGUAAAUCGGCAACCACUAUUUCUUGGGGAACAUCGUGGGGCCACUACCGCUACUAGCGCAUACAUUCUACCGGUGACAGCAUGGGUUCUUGGGACCUUGCCCGUUUCGAUGAGCCGAGGCCGAAUUAGCUAGUUGGUUGGGUAAAGGCCCACCUAGGCGACGAUACGUAGCCGAUCUGAGAGGAUGAUCAGCCACACUGGAACUGAGACACGGUCCAGACUCCUACGGGAGGCAGCAGUGGGGAAUAUUCGGCAAUGGGCGCAAGCCUGACGGAGCCAUACCGCGUGAGUGAAGAAGGCCUUCGGGUAGUAAAACUCUGUUGUUAGGAAAGAACAGCUGUGGAUUAAUCCAGCGCUGUUCUGACGGUACCCAAUGAAUAAGCAACGGCUAACUUCGUG